UCAUUUCUCGGUAUUUUAAAAUUCAGGUUAGUAUUUCACGUUUUCAUUCACUCAUUUCUCGAUAUUUCAGAAUUCAGUCCUCAUUUCUUUGCUUUGAAUUUCUUGAGUUUAGUCUUAUGUUCCUCAUUCACCUCUUUUGAUUUAGUCAUCAAGUCUCUUUGUUAUUCUUAAAUAUUGAGCAUCAUUUUGUCCUAAAUGGUGGUCUUUUUCUUCAUUAUUCAUCUCCCUCUUUUCAUUUUUUUUCCAAUACCAUCCCCUCUUUGCAUUCAAACUUUAGUUUUCUGUAUAUAUGGAUCUCAAUCCUUACUCUUCAGAUCUUACUCUUUAGUUUUUAAUGUAUAGAGAUUCAAAGGUAAGAGGUAGUUUAGUUCAGAGUUCAGAUCCUCUUUCUUCAUUUUCUUCUAUUUUGGGAGUUCUCUUCAUUUUCUUUCUUCAUUUUCUUCUAUUUUGGGAGUUCUCUUCAUUUUCUUUCUUUUGCUUCUUGAAUCAUUCAGGGCAUGUGAACCAAUCUCUGAAUGAACAUGCAGAAUCUCACUGUACUGUCCUCUGCACUUCUUGGUACAAGGGAGGUUUAUGCAUUUCCUUAUCUUUCUUGCACCAUCGUUCUGUUAUAUACUUGUCAUGUAUCUUUUCCAUAUCCUAGUGGAGCAUAACCUUUAUUAUAUGAAAGCAGAGCGCACCAUCUUUUUCCAAACUUGCAUAUAGGAGUACUUAUCAUGGCCCUUGCUCAUCUACACCAAAUAAGUUCUAGCCAUCACUGUGGGUAUGUAGGGUCGGGUUGAUCUUGAAGAACUACUAUCAUGUGUUGAGUGGACAUCCAGUGUAGUGUCGUCUAGGUCUAGAGAUCAGAGUGUCCACUUCUUAUAUGAUGACAAGUGCAUCAGGCUACUGAUGCAUCGGUUCACUCGUACCAACAUACAACUAUGUUUAACGGUAAGCCACGUUUUCUUUUUCUUUUUCUUUUCCAUGUUCCUUUUCUUUUUCAUUUUGUUGUACUUUUCCCGUUUUACCUGAUUUCCUUCACUUCAUGGCACUUUUCUGUCUUCUUAAUUUAGAAAAAUUCCCAAGUUUCUUUGCAGAUCAACAUGGUGAUGGGCUCUUAUUAUCAUUUUGUCAUUCUUUUUUGUAUACGUCUAAUCAGCUAUAACCCAUGGUCUGAUAUUCUGUCAUAGACACUAAAAUCUCCAUGAACUCUCAACUCCAACGGUGAUGGGUUCUUAUCAUUUUUUCAUGUUUCUCUAAUUUCGUGUGAGUCACACUUUACCUUUUUUUUAUCUUUUCGUUUGUUUGGGGUGGAGGUAACUUCGCCUACCAUUCAGUUUAUAAUGUAUGGCAGGCGGUUCCAAGCCCGGGAAAAGGAGGAGGAGCCCUUUUUUCAACUUUUUAUUUUUACAGUUCAUUUCUCUUUUUCUCAUACUUUCAGUUUUAUGUCCUCAGUAUUUCUUCAGCAUUCUCAGUUAUUUCUCAGUAUUACUUUUUCAAGUACCCAUAUUUAGAAGUGCAUAUAAAACUAUAGAAAGUAAGAGGACGUAAGUAGGGGAAUUUUUCGAGAAUGGAGUAGGGAUUGCAGGACAUCAAUUUUUGUUGCACUUCUAGUGGUAGUUUCCCGGCUUAGCCUAAUUUCACUGGGAAGUUUCUCCUCCACUAGUGCUAGUUUCAAGUAAUCAUUUUCCUUCAGUUAUUUAUCUGAUUAAUUUCUUCUUCAACUUGAUUUCAUUGGUGUUUGGUCAUUCAAUUUAUGUUUUAUGCAGUGGUUAGUUCAACGUUCAUGCCAUUAUUUAUGUUUCUUUUCAUCAGCUUCCCUUUAUUCAACGUUUUAUGGACAGAGCACGUGUCAUUUGUUUUUCCAGAGAGUGAUUUUCUACUGUUACCGGUUUUCUACUGUUACCGGGUGGCGGGUGGAAACAUGUGCCUCUAUUUUGGGACUAAUCUUGUUGGAUGUCUAAAGGAUUCAAAAGAUCAAAAAAAGGGUAGCCUGUGGAUCAUCAGUGUCAGGCUAGGAGCAGAGUCAAAGUAGGUGGAGUUGGUCUGUGCGGCGAAUGAUGUGCGGUUGUCUUUUUGUACUUGUAAGUUUUAGUGGCCUGUUCAGGCUGUAUACUCAACGGAGCCGAAACUGAAACGUGGACUCAAAUAGUCAUAGGACAGUGACCAUGUGAUUGUGGGCAGAUGCGAGAGAAGAAACUAUGGAUACAGAAAAGCGUCUGUUGGACCGGGCUGAAA
Molecule: long non-coding RNA, 2220 nt
Organism: Lolium perenne
Lineage: Eukaryota; Viridiplantae; Streptophyta; Magnoliopsida; Poales; Poaceae
Source: RefSeq, a predicted model, not a curated record